Molecule: long non-coding RNA, 810 nt
Filed under: Rattus norvegicus (Norway rat)
Lineage: Eukaryota; Metazoa; Chordata; Mammalia; Rodentia; Muridae
Description: long non-coding RNA NONRATT014576
Source: RNAcentral
CAAUCCCAUAUGAUCCAUGCAAAGUGGGGACACCAGCUUCACGGGUAGAGAAACUUCUAGACAGAAAAAGCAGAAUAUAUGGGAUACCUUCCCUUCCUGCCCUAACAAAUGAGGAUUUGAACCAGGGGAAAAUCCCACAGCCUUCAGUAUUUAUCUUAGGCUAUGGGAUGAAACAUUCCAGAAAUAGUGAGGGAGGAGUGAGGUGAGAUCCUACAAUGUGAGCACAAUUUGAGAUGGGUCAGAUUUAGGCUUGUGGAAAUAAAUGGUAUUAUUUGACCUCCAAAAAAGGAAGCCAUGGUUUCUGCCGCUGUCCCUGAAGUGGGAAAGAGCAAAGGACCAACCAUGCUUUUGCAUAGACCAUCAUCAGUCUUUCCAAUUCUGGAAUAAAGUAUGACCAGGGUGAAAUCAAAACAUUUAAUCAACUAUAGACGUGGGUUGGGAGAAUUUGCUAAGGCUAGGCCUAUGGCAGGGUCUAACCUUAUCACACUUUGGUAAUUAGCACACACAUAAUUGGUGGCUUUGUGUUGGGUUACAGAACUGUAAGACAUAUCAGCAUGGCUUAAACAGCCUCUGUGCCUUCUCUUGGUGACAAGGCAUUAAGAUGGAAGCCUCUUAGCAGGAGUCAGCAUUCACCAUCCUUGUAAUUCUGUUCUUCGGAAGUGGGAACCUAGGACGACACGUGGGGUGGCUGUAAAGAUAUGCUCUAUAGAAAGAAGAAGAAAUUAAUUCUCAGUGUGGCUCUUGGCCCUCAGUACCUUCUGUGUUCAACACUAAGCAGAUAAAAGAGGAAAAUAAAGAGCCUGUGCCUUA